This 118-nucleotide ribosomal RNA is filed under the name Pteropus alecto (black flying fox). The record is from RNAcentral. Lineage: Eukaryota; Metazoa; Chordata; Mammalia; Chiroptera; Pteropodidae.
GCCUAUAGCCAUGCCACCCUGAACAAGCCUGAUCCUGUCUAACCUUGGAAGCUAAGCAUGGUCGGGCCUGGUUAGUACCUAGAUGGGAGACCACGUAGGAAGACCAGUGCUGUAGGCG